UUUAACAAAAACAUGUCCUUUUGAGUAUAAUUUAAGGUCGGGCCUGCCCACUGACAAGUAGUUGAAGGGCCGCGGUAUUUUGACCGUGCAAAGGUAGCAUAAUCAUUAGUCUUUUAAUUGAGGGCUGGAAUGAAUGGUUUGACGAAAUAUUAACUGUCUCUGUAUAAUAAAUAGAAUUUAACUUCUGAGUCAAAAGGCUUAGAUAAGUAUAAAAGACGAGAAGACCCUAUAGAUCUUUAUAUGAUUGAUAUGGUUAUUUAUUUGGUUGUAUUGAUUAUAAUUAUAUUGUUGUAUUUUGUUGGGGUGACAUGAAGAUAAAAAUAACUCUUUAUAAUAGGAACAUUGAUUUAUGAUUAGAUGAUCCGUUAUUGGCGAUUAUAAGAUAAAGUUACCUUAGGGAUAACAGCGUAAUUUUUUUUGAGAGUUCUUAUCGACAAGAAAGAUUGCGACCUCGA
RNAcentral lists this ribosomal RNA (455 nucleotides) under Sporadiana sporadarum. Its description in RNAcentral is "partial 16S ribosomal RNA". It matches the Rfam family "Bacterial large subunit ribosomal RNA", at positions 1803 to 2529 of the family's 2925-position model. The record is from RNAcentral. Lineage: Eukaryota; Metazoa; Arthropoda; Insecta; Orthoptera; Tettigoniidae.